AGAUUCAUACAGGAACAAAUCCAACGGCUAGGAUCUUCAGGAUUCGCGGCCGGCCAGCGCGCUCUCUCGAUUUGUUUUUCCUGCUCGCCUGACUAGACUAGAAGCACCUAGAGUCUCGAUAAAAAAAAACUCUAGCAGCUUCCAGUUCCACCGCUCGCCCGCCAUCUCCUCGGCGCUUGCCCUCGCUGCUACUCAUCCUUCACAAGCGAUUCGCUAGGUUUCAAGUGUUCGUCCGUCCGUCACCAAGUUGCUUCCAAUCAAAUCGAGCUGCUUCCAAUUAAAUCGAGCUGCUUCCAAUCCAAUCGGCGGAACUCCACAUUUUUGCCGCUGCCGCCAACACCGCUCCCUGACAUCUGCCGUACGCGCGCUCUUCACCAACCGCGGCAAGCGCUCGCCCAGCUCGCUUCGAGCCUCCUGCCCUCUGGACUCGGCCGUCCGUGGUCGUCUGUUUCUCUGGUGCUACCGCUACGUACUGCUGGCCUAAAAUUUCAGCUCCUUCGCCUCUCGGUUUGUGGGUUGCAGCUGCUACUGCAGCCACGCCAUAUCAGUACAGCCCAACAACGCACUUCCAUUUGAAGAGUUAUCUACAGAUGAAAUGAAGGGAAAUUCAGCUAAUCAUGAGAAGAUACACUAAAAUACAAGAACGAAGUCCAUUUAAAGAUAUUACAAAUUCGGCUGACUUGCGGAUAUCGUCAAAUGGUAAACAAGAUCUUCUGGUUAAUGAAACUAAACGCCCAAUAUAUCCAUCUGGUGUAUCCAUACAAUCAAGUAAUCCUUCACAUGGACAUAAAAGUAUUAUAGGAAGAAAUGCUUCUGAGCGCAAGUGUUAUCGUGACCAGGAAAGAUACGUGACGAUGACUCCAGAACAGCGUGAUGCCUACCUGCAAAGGAACCGUGAAUACAAACGGAGAAGGAAGAAUCAUGAUGCAUUUAGCGAGGGUGUGCAAUAUGCAGUUAGCCAAAUUAAUAAAAUUACCCACAUCAACAUGCACGCACCAGCUCUCGCCAACAGACGCGAGAAAGUUGGACUCUUAAACAUGUACCGAAGAAUCAAUUGGUGAAGAUUAUGUGCGCCUACCUGAAGAUAUAAUUAUUGGUUACACUGAUUCAGAAGCAUCGGUUAGUAAGUUAGUCAACGAUAUCUUUCCUGCACUUGACCACUAUGGAAGAUUGCCAUCCUAUAUAAGUGCCCGUGUCAUUAUUUCCACUAAGAAUGAAUAUGUGGAUGAAAUAAAUACGCUACUUAUAAACCGAUUUCCUGGGGAUGAAAAGGUUUACUACAAUUUUGAUUCAGCAGUGGAUGAUACACAGAAUCACUACCAACCCGAAUUCCUGAACUCUCUAACACCUAAUGGCGUGCCUCCACAUGUUCUCAAGUUGAAGAUCAACUGCCCAGUAAUCCUGCUUCGAAAUUUGGAUCCAUCUAAUGGAUUAUGCAAUGGCACAAGACUUAUUAUCAAGGCAUUUCAAGAUAAUGCUAUUGAUGCAGAAAUUAUUGGAGGACAACAUGCUGGAAAGCGCGUAUUCCUUCCAAGAAUUCCUUUAUACCCAUCUGAAGAUGAUGUAUUCCCCUUUAAAUUUACAAGAAAACAAUUUCCAAUUCGUCUUAGUUUUGCUAUGACAAUUAAUAAAGCUCAGGGCCAAACCAUUCCAAAUGUUGGCAUCUACCUUCCCGAGAAUGUGUUCUCUCAUGGUCAAUUAUAUGUUGCUUUGUCAAGAGGGAUAUCAAGGCAAACAACAAGAAUACUUGCCAAGCCAAACAAGGAUAUUGACUCAUCAGGCAAAAGUACCAAAAAUAUUGUGUAUAAGGAGGUAUUGAUGGUAUGAUAAAUUUGAAUUAUGAAUCAAUGCCUUUUGUUUCGUGUAUGAUACCGCUUUUCAUUCACUCCUAAUACAUAGGUAUGUUGAUCACUGGCUACUAUUUUAUAUAUGUUAAAAAUAUAUUUUUCGAUCAUGCAGCUAAAAGUGAUGCUCUUUUUUCCUUUGUCAGGAAGUAGCAUGUUUUUUUGGCAGCACUAUAGUUCCAUUGCAUGCAAAACCACGGUGCAACUACGGGGGAAUUUGGAACCAUGUGCCUGUUUUGAACGCGAAUAACCUAAAGUGAAGGCCUAUGAUAGCCCUAUGUGUCCAUGUUUUCGAUCUUCACUUCUUUUGAAGAACACCAAAUUUAGUUCUGAUCCUAUGAAACAUGAAUGAUGUACUUAUGAAUCAGCUCCGUUGAGACAACAUGGAUAUCAGCUCAACUAACAACUUUUUGUGAGCAUACUAAGUUAAACUUUGUCAUCACAUUUGGCGCAACAUAUGAUAGACGAUGUCAAUGUAUUCCAUAAUAUUUUCACAUAAUAUUUCAUUAGUUUGUAACUAUGUGUAUUUGUUUGAGUUCUAAA
This is a long non-coding RNA of Lolium perenne, 2387 nucleotides long. RefSeq lists it as uncharacterized. Lineage: Eukaryota; Viridiplantae; Streptophyta; Magnoliopsida; Poales; Poaceae. The record is from RefSeq and is a predicted model, not a curated record.